This 484-nucleotide ribosomal RNA is filed under the name uncultured bacterium. RNAcentral's name for it is "partial 16S ribosomal RNA". It matches the Rfam family "Bacterial small subunit ribosomal RNA", at positions 30 to 507 of the family's 1533-position model. The record is from RNAcentral.
AUUGAACGCUGGCGGCAGGCCUAACACAUGCAAGUCGAGCGGAUGAAGGGAGCUUGCUCCUGGAUUCAGCGGCGGACGGGUGAGUAAUGCCUAGGAAUCUGCCUGGUAGUUGGGGAUAACGUCAGGAAACGGGCGCUAAUACCGCAUACGUCCUGAGGGAGAAAGUGGGGGAUCUUCGGACCUCACGCUAUCAGAUGAGCCUAGGUCGGAUUAGCUAGUUGGUGGGGUAAAGGCCUACCAAGGCGACGAUCCGUAACUGGCCUGAGAGGAUGAUCAGUCACACUGGAACUGAGACACGGUCCAGACUCCUACGGGAGGCAGCAGUGGGGAAUAUUGGACAAUGGGCGAAAGCCUGAUCCAGCCAUGCCGCGUGUGUGAAGAAGGUCUUCGGAUUGUAAAGCACUUUAAGUUGGGAGGAAGGGAAGUAAGUUAAUACCUUGCUGUUUUGACGUUACCAACAGAAUAAGCACCGGCUAACUUCGUG